RNAcentral lists this ribosomal RNA (466 nucleotides) under uncultured bacterium. RNAcentral's name for it is "partial 16S ribosomal RNA". It matches the Rfam family "Bacterial small subunit ribosomal RNA", at positions 28 to 507 of the family's 1533-position model. The record is from RNAcentral.
GAUGAACGCUGGCGGCGUGCUUAACACAUGCAAGUCGAACGAUGAAGCCCAGCUUGCUGGGUGGAUCAGUGGCGAACGGGUGAGUAACACGUGAGUAACCUGCCCUUAACUCUGGGAUAAGCCUGGGAAACUGGGUCUAAUACCGGAUAGGAGCGUCCACCGCAUGGUGGGUGUUGGAAAGAUUUAUCGGUUUUGGAUGGACUCGCGGCCUAUCAGCUUGUUGGUGAGGUAAUGGCUCACCAAGGCGACGACGGGUAGCCGGCCUGAGAGGGUGACCGGCCACACUGGGACUGAGACACGGCCCAGACUCCUACGGGAGGCAGCAGUGGGGAAUAUUGCACAAUGGGCGCAAGCCUGAUGCAGCGACGCCGCGUGAGGGAUGACGGCCUUCGGGUUGUAAACCUCUUUCAGUAGGGAAGAAGCGAAAGUGACGGUACCUGCAGAAGAAGCACCGGCUAACUACGUG